GUUAGCUUUUUUUUUUGGAUUCAAUGUCAUAUUUUCUUCAAUUCUUGAACUGGGUCUGAGCUAUUUCAUCUGUAUAUUUAUUGUAUUUUUGUCCUUUUUUAAUACUUGGUGUUGGAGGGUUUUGCUCUAAAGGAAGUGUAUAUAUUUGGAAUUCCCUUUUUGGGUCCCCAUUGGGUCAUGUUUGUGCUAAUUAGGAAACUUUGGUUCAGUUGUUUAGCUGAUGAUUUAAGGGUUUGGAAAAAGAUCAGAUUUUUG
RNAcentral lists this unclassified non-coding RNA (255 nucleotides) under Hevea brasiliensis (rubber tree). The record is from RNAcentral. Lineage: Eukaryota; Viridiplantae; Streptophyta; Magnoliopsida; Malpighiales; Euphorbiaceae.